AGAGAGAGAGAGAGAGAGCUUAAUUGACUAAAAAGCCCCCACCAACCCCACUUGAGAACGUAAUAAUAACUUUUGGUGGUAAAUUUGGUAAAUUCAAGAUGCCAUCUGUCAACCUCAGAACCUUGAAAGUAAGACCCGCAGUUCACUAAUUGUUGAAUAAUAAUGAAUGUCCAAUAAUUAUAGAUAUGAUCCUUGGCAAUAUGGGAAGAAGGAAACGUCAGAGACGGAGAAAAAUCGAAACAUGAUUAAUUAUAAUGGAGUAGUUAGCUUUGGAAUUUCAUGGAGUUAAGGCCACCAAAUACUGGCCUACCGGUGAUUAUUAUAACCAAAAUGACACCCUGUAGGCUAUAAACCAAUAUGAGUCACUUUGCUCGUAGAUAAUUUAUUUUUGCCAGAACCUGACAGGGUGGUGGUGGUGGUGGCUAAUUCAGGCACGUUAUAGCGGCAGACCACUUAAUCAAUCAAAGAUUAAUUAAGCUUAUUUUAAUCG
RNAcentral lists this unclassified non-coding RNA (490 nucleotides) under Hevea brasiliensis (rubber tree). The record is from RNAcentral. Lineage: Eukaryota; Viridiplantae; Streptophyta; Magnoliopsida; Malpighiales; Euphorbiaceae.